RNAcentral lists this long non-coding RNA (224 nucleotides) under Homo sapiens (human). Its description in RNAcentral is "HSALNT0385302". The record is from RNAcentral. Lineage: Eukaryota; Metazoa; Chordata; Mammalia; Primates; Hominidae.
CCGGAUCCCUCCCACAUUAGACCUACCACACCCUCAGGGCAGACAACAGCUCCACACACCCCACACUCAGCCACCAGGGCAAGGGAGCAAAAUUCCAGAAAGCUCAGAGCGGACUGAUGUACUGGCCCUUAGUACAGGUGCUGCCAUGGCCACGACUGUUGUUACACUCGAGCUGAGGAGGCCGGCUGCAGCCCCAAGACAGAGCGCUACUCCUGGCAGUGCGU